AUUGAACGCUGGCGGCAGGCCUAACACAUGCAAGUCGAACGGCAGCACAGAAGAGCUUGCUCUUUGGGUGGCGAGUGGCGGACGGGUGAGUAAUGUCUGGGAAACUGCCCGAUGGAGGGGGAUAACUACUGGAAACGGUAGCUAAUACCGCAUAACGUCGCGAGACCAAAGUGGGGGACCUUCGGGCCUCACACCAUCGGAUGUGCCCAGAUGGGAUUAGCUAGUAGGUGGGGUAAUGGCUCACCUAGGCGACGAUCCCUAGCUGGUCUGCGAGGAUGACCAGACACACUGGAACUGAGACACGGUCCAGACUCCGACGGGAGGCAGCAGUGGGGAAUAUUGCACAAUGGGAGCAAGCCUGAUGCAGCCAUGCCGCGUGUAUGAAGAAGGCCUUCGGGUUGUAAAGUACUUUCAGCGGGGAGGAUGGCGGUGAGGUUAAUAACCUUGCCGAUUGACGUUACCCGCAGAAGAAGCACCGGCUAACUCCGUGCCAGCAGCCGCCGUAA
This 506-nucleotide ribosomal RNA is filed under the name uncultured bacterium. Its description in RNAcentral is "partial 16S ribosomal RNA". It matches the Rfam family "Bacterial small subunit ribosomal RNA", at positions 30 to 523 of the family's 1533-position model. The record is from RNAcentral.